CUACGGGUUGCUGCAGUGGGGAAUAUUGGACAAUGGGCGCAAGCCUGAUCCAGCAAUGCCGCGUGAGUGAAGACGGCCUUAGGGUUGUAAAACUCUUUCGCUAGGGAAGAUAAUGACUGUACCUAGUAAAGAAGUCCCGGCUAACUCCGUGCCAGCAGCCGCGGUAAUACGGAGGGGACUAGCGUUGUUCGGAAUUACUGGGCGUAAAGAGUUCGUAGGCGGACUGACAAGUUAGAGGUGAAAUCCCAGGGCUCAACCCUGGAACUGCCUUUAAAACUGUCAGUCUAGAGACCGGAAGAGGUUAGGGGAAUACCUAGUGUAGAGGUGAAAUUCGUAGAUAUUAGGUGGAACACCAGUGGCGAAGGCGCCUAACUGGUCCGGUACUGACGCUGAGGAACGAAAGCGUGGGGAGCAAACAGGAUUAGAUACCCUGGUAGUC
RNAcentral lists this ribosomal RNA (439 nucleotides) under uncultured bacterium. RNAcentral describes it as "partial 16S ribosomal RNA". It matches the Rfam family "Bacterial small subunit ribosomal RNA", at positions 339 to 795 of the family's 1533-position model. The record is from RNAcentral.